Nothoprocta perdicaria is the source of this 1592-nucleotide long non-coding RNA. RefSeq lists it as uncharacterized. Lineage: Eukaryota; Metazoa; Chordata; Aves; Tinamiformes; Tinamidae. The transcript has 3 exons. The record is from RefSeq and is a predicted model, not a curated record.
UUUUGGUAUGGGGAAAUGUAUUUUUGUGGGGAAAAUGAAACAUGGUUAGUAAGCAGCUUUAUUAUGAAAUGUGAAAAAUAGGAAUAACCCCUCUUCUCAUCCCAAUUAAAAACUAGCAGUAUUGCAAAGAAGUAAAACUAGGAGAAAAAAUACCUUAGAAAAAAAGAUGCUUAAAAUUUUUAAGGACAUGACCAAGUAACAAAGUUUGCACUCCAGUAUCUGAGUGCAGCAGCUUGUACUGAACACCCGUCUCUUUAAGCAGCGUGUGCUAUAGCCCCUGCAAAGCAAACACUUCCACAUUCAUCAAGCUGCUGAACRUCCGUCCUUUCCUCCACUAUUUAUGUAAACUGGUGCUAUGGUGAACUGGAAUAUUUGAUUGCAAGUGAAGCACAGAACGAGGAUGUUAGUCAGGCUCUACCUUGCCAGGUUAGAGCUCGUACAGUCUGUGACCACCUUCUGAGUCGUGUUGCACGUUUUCUCUCUCUUUCAGGCCUGCAGAAGAGCGAGCAGCGGCGGGCUCCUGGGUUUGGGAUUUUAACGUCAGCACCACUUGCCAUCAAGAGACAGCUCUGGCCAAAGGUGACAGACAACGUUUACCUGUGCCUGGUGAACCCCCCAACAGGAAUGAGGCAGCUUGUACUGGGGAACAUUCAGGAGGUAGUUCUGUUGCUCCAUCCRAUACACAAAUUUGCUUAAAGAUGAUACUUGUUGCGGUUCUAGACUAACAGGGAGCCAAAAUUUACUACUUUUGAACGGGAGCACAGACCAUUUAAGCAGAGGAUUAUCUGAUGCCAAAAACUGUCACGGGAUCUGGAUUUGGAAAAUCCCUCCUAUCUCAGUAGACCAGUCUUCAGCUGUACAGUUGGAUUCCGGUUUCCGGCCUCCUUCAAAACGUGGAAAUUCAUCUGGAGUUGGAAGCAGACCCUUCCGGCCUCCUGAGCAAUGGAGAAGAUGCAGAGGACAGCAGUGAGAGGAGACAUUGUGCUCAGGAAACUUUUCCAAUUCGYCCAAGAAAUGUCUUUGCCCCCUCAACCAUGCAUUUCAGUGCAGAAGAACGUUCCCUCACCUCGGAGAGCACCGCGACCUCGUCCCCGAACACCAUGGUCCCUUCCUCUCGCACUGUCAUCGGGAGGGUCAAAAGCGUCAUCUGGCCCAAAAUCUUCAGGACCGGGGAAGCCGUCUCUCCCCCUGGGUCCCCGGCCCUCGUGUCUUGAGGGUCCUCCUCUUCUGAAGCUACAAGAAAAGAACAUAGUACAAACGUGGGGUUUUUAGGCAGCUUACACUGAUAAACUUGAAUCAUCUUCACUUUAAUAAUCAACUUGUUUCAGAACCAUUUUACUUGAUACUGUAGUGCAAACAAUUACUACAACAGGACUUAUAGCACAAGACCCUAGACUGCACUUGGCUCUGUAGUGAUGACAGUUGCUGCAAGUGCGCAGGAACAUCCUAUGCUCUGAAGGACAGGUUAUUCUAAAGUGCAGUUGUCUUGCACAGCGUAGCUCUCAUGACACUGAAGUCGUUUUUUUUCCUUCUAGAAGUGCCCUGGCACCUUCAGUGAUCCGACACCAUUGGGUUCGGUACCUUUUCUUAGG